GACGAACGCUGGCGGCGUGCUUAACACAUGCAAGUCGAACGGAAAGGCCUUUUCGGCGGUACUCGAGUGGCGAACGGGUGAGUAACACGUGGGUGAUCUGCCCUGCACUCUGGGAUAAGCCUGGGAAACUGGGUCUAAUACCGGAUAGGACCGCACUUUAGUGUGUGUGGUGGAAAGUUUUUUCGGCGUAGGAUGAGCCCGCGGCCUAUCAGCUUGUUGGUGGGGUAAUGGCCUACCAAGGCGGCGACGGGUAGCCGGACUGAGAGGUUGGUCGGCCACAUUGGGACUGAGAUACGGCCCAGACUCCUACGGGAGGCAGCAGUGGGGAAUAUUGCACAAUGGGCGCAAGCCUGAUGCAGCGACGCCGCGUGGGGGAUGACGGCCUUCGGGUUGUAAACUCCUUUCGCCAGGGACGAAGCGUUUUGUGACGGUACCUGGAGAAGAAGCACCGGCUAACUACGUG
RNAcentral lists this ribosomal RNA (463 nucleotides) under uncultured bacterium. Its description in RNAcentral is "partial 16S ribosomal RNA". It matches the Rfam family "Bacterial small subunit ribosomal RNA", at positions 28 to 507 of the family's 1533-position model. The record is from RNAcentral.